This 238-nucleotide ribosomal RNA is filed under the name uncultured bacterium. RNAcentral's name for it is "partial 16S ribosomal RNA". It matches the Rfam family "Bacterial small subunit ribosomal RNA", at positions 96 to 334 of the family's 1533-position model. The record is from RNAcentral.
UGGCGGACGGGUGAGUAACGCGUGGGUAACCUGCCCCACACUGGGGGACAACAGUUAGAAAUGACUGCUAAUACCGCAUAAGCGCACAGGACCGCAUGGUCCGGUGUGAAAAACUCCGGUGGUGUGAGAUGGACCCGCGUUUGAUUAGCUAGUUGGUGGGGUAACGGCCUACCAAGGCGACGAUCAAUAGCCGACCUGAGAGGGUGACCGGCCACAUUGGGACUGAGACACGGCCCAA